AGAAAUAUGUCUGAUACAAGAGUUACAUUGAUAGAAUAAAUAAUAGAGGUUUAAAUCCUCUUAUUUCUA
RNAcentral lists this transfer RNA (69 nucleotides) under Papio anubis (olive baboon). It matches the Rfam family "tRNA". Rfam says of the family: Transfer RNA (tRNA) molecules are approximately 80 nucleotides in length. Their secondary structure includes four short double-helical elements and three loops (D, anti-codon, and T loops). The record is from Rfam by way of RNAcentral. Lineage: Eukaryota; Metazoa; Chordata; Mammalia; Primates; Cercopithecidae.